UGCUGGAGUGUUGAGGUGUCA
Molecule: non-coding RNA, 21 nt
Filed under: Arabidopsis thaliana (thale cress)
Lineage: Eukaryota; Viridiplantae; Streptophyta; Magnoliopsida; Brassicales; Brassicaceae
Source: RNAcentral